CAAUAGCGUAUAUUAAAGUUGUUGCGGUAAAAAAGCUCGUAGUUGGAUUUCUACCGAAGAUAGCCGGUCGGGUCUUCGACCUUGUAUCUGGUUUUGUCUUUGGUAUCCUCAUAGGGAACGUUUCUGCGCUUUAUUGCGUGGUGCGGUAUCUAUGACUUUUACUUUGAGGAAAUUAGAGUGUUCACGGCAGGCAAACGCCUUGAAUAUAUUAGCAUGGAAUAAUAACAUAGGAUCUUCGUCCUAUUUUGUUGGUUUCUAGGGCUAAGAUAAUGAUUAAUAGGGAUAAUUGGGGGCAUCUGUAUCAACGCGUCAGAGGUGGAAUUCUUGGAUUGCGUUGCGACAAACUACUGCGAAAGCGUUUGCCAAGGAUGUUUUCAUUGA
Molecule: ribosomal RNA, 381 nt
Filed under: uncultured eukaryote
Lineage: Eukaryota
Description: partial 18S ribosomal RNA
Rfam family: Eukaryotic small subunit ribosomal RNA
Source: RNAcentral